RNAcentral lists this long non-coding RNA (285 nucleotides) under Numida meleagris (helmeted guineafowl). RNAcentral's name for it is "lncRNA (ENSNMEG00000022109.1)". The record is from RNAcentral. Lineage: Eukaryota; Metazoa; Chordata; Aves; Galliformes; Numididae.
UAGAGAUUAGGUAAAUAAAAGUCAAAGGCUUAUCUUGUGCAUCUCAAAAACUUAAUUAUUUCCCUACAGAAACACUGAAAGGAAAAAAUCCCAAGAACCCAGAAGGGCCAAAGGAAAAAGAGACUGGUAAAAGAAAAGAUGUGAUGCCUCCAACGAUCCUAAAGGAAAAGGACUCUUCAAAAGGAAAAGAAAUGAAAGUUUCAACUCUGACAAAGGAGAAAGGUAACAAUCACAUCUUGGAAUAGCAUCCUUUGCUACUGUGCCCUUGUUUUUUUCCUUGUGUCA